UUGGAUAAAAUAGAGGCGAAUAUAAAG
This 27-nucleotide non-coding RNA is filed under the name Mus musculus (house mouse). Lineage: Eukaryota; Metazoa; Chordata; Mammalia; Rodentia; Muridae. The record is from RNAcentral.